GUCCACGGCUAUGCCACCCUGAACACGCCCGACCCCGGCUGAUCUCGGAAGCUAAGCAGGGUCGGGCCUGGUUAGUACUUGGAUGGGAGACCACCUAGUAAGACCAGAUGCUGUAGGCG
Molecule: ribosomal RNA, 119 nt
Filed under: Pteropus alecto (black flying fox)
Lineage: Eukaryota; Metazoa; Chordata; Mammalia; Chiroptera; Pteropodidae
Source: RNAcentral